UCCACCAGUAGACUUGGCGCCUCGGCGCGUAC
This 32-nucleotide non-coding RNA is filed under the name Bombyx mori (domestic silkworm). Lineage: Eukaryota; Metazoa; Arthropoda; Insecta; Lepidoptera; Bombycidae. The record is from RNAcentral.